AUCUUACUUUAAGUCUAUUUGAUUGUCAGUAUAACAUGUAUGCACCUCAAAUAUUUUUGUAUUUUAUUUAUUUAUAUAAUAUGAUGAAAAUUAUUUAAAUGAAGUAAAACGUUAUAGGUCUACAGUGGUUGUUAAGACUUAGCUAUUGAAUCAGCCUACUAUUGGUAUUUUAUGCUUCACAAAUCCACUAAUACACUUAACUUGCUAUUAUUUCUUAAAGGCAUUUUUAAAACGCUUUAUUACAAAAAUACCGGAAUCAGUUUUGUGGAGAUUUUGAUUACUGGCAAUGUACACAAUUUGGCUUUACCUUGUUUUUUUAUGCGCUGAAAAAAGUUAUAGCAUCACCAUUGUCAUUAAGUGUUGUAUGUGUGUGUGUAUCAAUUCAUUAAUGCAAUAUGUUAAAAUUUCAGGAUACACUGAUAUUUAAUUCAAACGACAAAAAAUGUAUACGCAACAAUAUCAUUACAUUAUUUUUUACCCUUUUUAAAUUUUUUUAGAGUGCUUCCAAAUCAACAUUCUUUUUCUUGAUUUUUCUUGAAGUUAUCAUUUAAAAUUCACAAAAAAAUGUAUUUAAGGAUUUGAAAGUUUAACAAAAACUACAUAGAUUGUCUUGUUAUCGCUUUGGUGCAAUAUCUUAGUAUCAUAACAACAAAUAUGGCGGCGCAGUUUACAGCGUAUGAUACUAGUUGAUUCAUUUCAAUUUUUGAUAUAUUCCAUUUUUUUCUGGUUUAUACUUAAUUAUGAGAGAUCACGAAAAGAAAUUUCAUUCAAAUCUCUAAACACUUAAGUUACCAACAUUACCCAUCUGGUUCAUUAACUCAGUUACUCAGUCCCAGUUGCUCUAGAAGCAGAUGGGAGAUUCAGGCCCAUUGGACCUCUUGUAUGGGAUUUCUACCUGCGAGGGUUUGAAGUUUCCCUUUUUGUUCGUGAGCUGGUUGGCUCCUGUUGUCAUAUUUUUGUUGUGAGGUUUCCCUUGCAUCUUGACAGUUAAUUUACGUAUUUUAUAGUAAUUGUUUGGCAUGCAAUCCUCGAAACUUUGUCUCAAUUGUUAUAUUAUACCAUUGUUCUUUCUUUGCCCUUUAACAUAUUUCUUGUAUGACAAUGAUUCAUUUUCUCUCUCUCUCUUUUUUAUAAAAGCAUUUUGUAUUGAUGUUUUACAUUAUCCAUAUAGACUGGUUGCUAUCCCCGUACACUGUAUCUAUUCAGCUCCCAACUUGAUGCUAUUGAAAGAUUUUAAUUCUGUUCCACAGGGUAACUUCUUAACUGUGUCUUUAUUUUCUGUGAAAUUGUAAUGGUAUUUUUUAAGUUUACUCUCUUAAUGUUGAGAUUUGCUAAUAUCGUCACCACUCAUGCAGUCCUGAUGAUCGAGGCCCCAUCUGUAAUGUGUCUAGAUUAUCGAUAUCCCACAGUAUUGCGUCCGGAAUACAGAGAGGUCCCGCUGUAAAAUGACCGGCUUAUAGAGGUCCCGCUGUAAAUUACCGGCUUAAAGAGUUACCGUUGUAAGGUGAGCAGCUUAGAGGUCCCGCUGUAAAGUGACCGGGUUAUAGAGGUCCCGCUGUAAAGUGACCGGGUUAUAGAGGUCCCGCUGUAAAGUGACCAGAUUAAAAAGGUCCCCCUGUAAAGUGACCGACCGGCUUAUAAUUGUCCCGCUGUAAGGUGACCGGCUUAUAGAGGUCCCACUGUAAGGUGACCGGGUUAUAGAGGUCCCACUGUAUGGUGACCGGGUUAUAGAGGUCCCACUGUAUGGUGACCGGCUUAUAGAGGUCCCGUUGAAAAGUGACUGGCUUAUAGAGGUCUCGUUGUGAAAUGACCUGCUUAUAGGGGUCCCGUUGAAAAGUGACCGGCUUACAGAAGACUCGCUGUAAAGAGACCAGUUUAGACAGGUUCUGCUGAAAUAUGUUCGGCUAACAGAGGUUUCGGCUUAUAGAGGUCCCACUGUAAAGUCAUCGGCUUAUAGAGGUUUCACUGUAAAGUGACCGGUUUCUGACGAUGGCUGUAUGGUGGUCGGAUUUCCGUGCGAUGACUGGAUUCUUUAGAUUGUAUUGUUAUAUGAAUUAUUGUUAAUUUUUUCUCACUGUGUUCUUCUGUCUAUCUGUGAUACGUCCUUUCGGAUGACAAAUACUCAUUUUAUAUUAAAUUAUUAUGGUUUUGCUUUAUUAUUAUAGCCGAUUGCUCAUUGAUCAGGAAGAAAAUAAAUCUAUAGUUACAUGUAUAUAAUAUAGACAUUCUUUUGCAGAGAAAUAUUGUUUUGAGAAAUAAGAUGUAAAGUUUUUGACAUAAGGAUAUACGGCACCUUGAUAUUUAUGUUCCGUCAUUAAGAAACAAAACGAGAGCAUAAAUGGAGAUAAUAAUCUUAUAAAACGCAUUUUCCUUUCGAAUAAAAGCAAAUUCCUGGUGAGCAAAAUUCAAUGAUCUACAUUUUUAUCCAAAAUCGGUAAAUGCAAGUGUUUUAAUUAUGUUAACUUGUUAUUAUAACUUAUAUAAAAAUACAUCAUUUAUUGUU
Long non-coding RNA from Pecten maximus, 2503 nucleotides. RefSeq lists it as uncharacterized. Lineage: Eukaryota; Metazoa; Mollusca; Bivalvia; Pectinida; Pectinidae. The transcript has 2 exons. The record is from RefSeq and is a predicted model, not a curated record.